UUGGGCGUGGCCAAGUGGUAAGGCAACGGGUUUUGGUCCCGCUAUUCGGAGGUUCGAAUCCUUCCGUCCCAG
Molecule: transfer RNA, 72 nt
Filed under: Datura stramonium (jimsonweed)
Lineage: Eukaryota; Viridiplantae; Streptophyta; Magnoliopsida; Solanales; Solanaceae
Description: tRNA-Gln
Rfam family: tRNA
About the family: Transfer RNA (tRNA) molecules are approximately 80 nucleotides in length. Their secondary structure includes four short double-helical elements and three loops (D, anti-codon, and T loops). Further hydrogen bonds mediate the characteristic L-shaped molecular structure. tRNAs have two regions of fundamental functional importance: the anti-codon, which is responsible for specific mRNA codon recognition, and the 3' end, to which the tRNAs corresponding amino acid is attached (by aminoacyl-tRNA synthetases). tRNAs cope with the degeneracy of the genetic code in two manners: having more than one tRNA (with a specific anti-codon) for a particular amino acid; and 'wobble' base-pairing, i.e. permitting non-standard base-pairing at the 3rd anti-codon position.
Source: RNAcentral